UUCUGGGCCGGGUCGGGCUGGAUUACUGAUGGGCCAGUUUCUUGGGCCUGGUCGGACAAGGUUACUGGGCUCGGGUCUGGGCCAGUUUUCUGGGCCGGACUGGGAGGAGUUACUGGGCUCGGGCCUGGGCCAACUGUUGCUAGGCUCGGAUCUACUUGUGGGACCCGACCCAAAAGAACCCGACUCGUUUAUGGGGCAUAUGUCGCCCAUUUCUCCUUUAGAUUUUCUUUCUUCUUCUUCCCAGCUCCUGAGGCAGCUGCCUCCAAAUCGCUCCUUCUCCCUUUGCCCUCCGCCGCC
Molecule: long non-coding RNA, 297 nt
Filed under: Ricinus communis (castor bean)
Lineage: Eukaryota; Viridiplantae; Streptophyta; Magnoliopsida; Malpighiales; Euphorbiaceae
Description: long non-coding RNA (RCOM_LNC000512)
Source: RNAcentral